This is a non-coding RNA of Osmia lignaria (orchard mason bee), 650 nucleotides long. The record is from RefSeq and is a predicted model, not a curated record. Lineage: Eukaryota; Metazoa; Arthropoda; Insecta; Hymenoptera; Megachilidae.
AGCUUCGUUACCAGCCUCAGAAUCCGGAUUACGGCCUUCUACUGGAGUAUAGUCUAAUUAUAUUUAUGAAAACAAGAAAUAACUAAAGAAAAUUUCUAUAUACUUUUUGUUUUUAGGCUUUCAUGGUGAUAUGGGAUCAUAAUGGAGACCUUUUCGGAUUUCUACCGAAUCUUCAGGCCUACCCUGAUGAACAGAGCUACAAUGCUCACGAUACGUCGGCAUCCAAGCCUCAAUAGACAUGGUAGAAAUACGAAAAAACCUCCACCACGAAUCAAACAUAUAGAUUUGAUGUACAAUUAAUUUUGAAAAAAUGAAGAAAAAUGAAGUAUAAAAGAAUUAAAAUAAAGAAUAUGCAAUACAGUGAAAGCAGACACACGCUAAUUAUAAAGUAAACAUAUUGUUAUUCCAAAAGGUAUAUGUUACAUUUGACACGCAAUAACUACUACAUAAAUCAUCUGUACUAAAAAUUAAAAACUAACUAAUAAACUUGUAUGGAUAUGUAAAAAUAAAAGAGAAAAGAUACAGAUAUCAAAUUUAAAGUUUAUUUUAAUGUAAUAGUGUGUGCCUACCUCCGUUGUCUAUAAGAUUCUGGUCUUCUGUAUUCCUAACUGUACAAAAAAACAAUAAUUAAUUAAAGGAAUUUUAAUAAA